RNAcentral lists this ribosomal RNA (346 nucleotides) under uncultured bacterium. Its description in RNAcentral is "partial 16S ribosomal RNA". It matches the Rfam family "Bacterial small subunit ribosomal RNA", at positions 338 to 681 of the family's 1533-position model. The record is from RNAcentral.
CCUACGGGAGGCAGCAGUGAGGAAUAGUGGUCAAUGGACGAGAGUCUGAACCAGCCAAGUAGCGUGAAGGAUGACUGCCCUAUGGGUUGUAAACUUCUUGUAUAGGGGAAUAAAAUGUUCCACGUGUGGGAUUGUGUAUGUACCAUAUGAAUAAGGAUCGGCUAACUCCGUGCCAGCAGCCGCGGUAAUACGGAGGAUCCGAGCGUUAUCCGGAUUUAUUGGGGUUCACGGGAGCGUAGGAGGAUUGGUAAGUCAGUUGUGAAAGUUUGCGGCUCCACCGGAAAAUUGCAGUUGAUACGUGCAGUCUUGAGUACAGUAGAGGUGGGCGGAAUUCGUGGUGUAGCGG